GAGGGGAGAGAGUGGGAUGGAUUGAGAACUUGGGGUUAAUAGAUGCAGACUAUUGCCUUUGGAAUGGAUAAGCAAUGAGAUCCUGCUGUGUAGCACUGGGAACUAUAUCUAGUCACUUAUGAUGCAGCAUGAUAAUGUGAGAAAAAAGAAUCUAUACAUGUCUGUGUAAUUGGGUCACCAUGCUGUACAGUAGAAAAUUGACAGAACACUGUAAACCAGCUAUAAUGAAAAAAAAAAAAUAAAGUUUUUUAAAGGGGGAAAAAAAGUAUCAAAGUGUUUCAAUCAAGUGAAAGGCUGGGAGUGUAUGAGGCAGCUGGUAGGUGGAGGAGUCAAGAAAAUGGCCAGAAGUAAUGACAUUUAGCUUCAUCAUAUAGGGUUAGCAAGCUGCCACUGUGGGAAGGAAGUUUGCAGCCCCCCCCCUCCCCCCAGUUUAUCCACCCUCUAGGGAGAAGGGAUGCAUGGAUUGGUCAGAUUCAAGAACAAUGAAGUAAGCCACAGUCCUGGGGGCGGGGCCUCAGCCUGUGAAAAAAGAAGGUCUAAGGUAGGUCCCAGUCUGGGAAUGGCUCUCGCCAAUUUCUUCUCUCUCAGACCUUCAAGGAGGUGGUUCUUGAGCUGAGUCCUGAGGGACAAGGGAUCGGGGUCAGCAGAGGCCAUGAAAGCUUUGGGUGCAGGCACGCCGGGGCUCCUGGAGGAGUGCUUGGAGAAUGGAGGCGAAUCCAGCAAAAAGAAUCAGAGAGGCCACCAGAGCUUCCUAGUGUCAGCAUCCAAGAACGGAGCUUAGCAAAACAGCAGUACCCUCAGGAACAGAUCCGGCCCAACCUUUCCCUUAUUUUCAUGCGUAAAGGUCAUGAGAUCAGGUUCCUGGAUCAAGUUUAUCAAGGUUAAUGAGAGUUUAGUUGAGGUAAGUUCAAGGGGAAGCGGCAAGGUAGGAAGAGCAUUGGCAAACUUAAGGCUGUGACAUGGCUGAUGGCCAGGGCAGGUGGAUAAUUGUGGGAAGCCGAGAAAGGAACAUGAAGAGUAGCGUGCAGACCUGCAUUCAAAGCUUAUUCCGGCUGCUGUAGAGGAGGGAUCCGCUGAGAGCAAGAAAGUGUGUGGAGAGACCAAAUAAGGCUAUUUCGUCUGAGCAGCAGAUGCUAGCUUUGAUCAGCCUGUUUAUAACGGGAAUGGAUGGGGACAGAAUGAUGAAAUAUUUCCGGGUUAGAAUUGACCAGGCUUGAGUGGGGGAUGAGGGAAAGGAGGGAGUCAUUCAGUUUUUGGUUUUAACAACAUAGGACGGGGGUGGGGGGAACUCUGGGACAACGCUGGGGAGGAAGAUGAGAACUCAGGUUGCACCCGAGGUGGCUGGGCACCACCACAUGGAUCUGGUAAGUAAGAGGUGGUUGGCUGGACAUAUGUAUGGCUCUUGGGUUCAGAGGUCCUAGAAGCCAAGGAAGUCAUCUUGCCCAAGGUGAAAAGAAUGUCUAGGACAGAGCCCUAGAGAACCCCCCC
Molecule: long non-coding RNA, 1488 nt
Filed under: Sus scrofa (pig)
Lineage: Eukaryota; Metazoa; Chordata; Mammalia; Artiodactyla; Suidae
Description: lncRNA (ENSSSCG00015064508.1)
Source: RNAcentral